This 1219-nucleotide ribosomal RNA is filed under the name uncultured Rhizaria. RNAcentral describes it as "SSU rRNA". It matches the Rfam family "Eukaryotic small subunit ribosomal RNA", at positions 577 to 1805 of the family's 1831-position model. The record is from RNAcentral.
CGGUAAUUCCAGCUCCAAUAGCGUAUACUAAAGUUGUUGCAGUUAAAAAGCUCGUAGUUGGAUUUCUGCGGGGACGGAGCGGCCGGACGCAACUUGCGUCUCGAGCUAGCGCUUUCCCCACAUCCUGCCGCGAACCGUGCUACCAUUAGCUUGGUGGCGCUGGGGAUCGGCUCGAUUACUUUGAGAAAAAUAGAGUGUUCAAAGCAGGCCACACGCCUUGAAUAAGUUAGCAUGGAAUAAUGAUUAAGGACUUCGGUUCUAUUUUGUUGGUGUUCGGGACUGAAGUAAUGAUUGAUAGGGACAGUUGGGGCGGUCUGUAUUCCAAAGCGAGAGGUGAAAUUCUUAGACCUUCGGAAGACAAACAGCUGCGAAAGCGUUCCGCAAGGAUGUUCCCUUUGAUCAAGAACGAAAGUUGGGGGAUCGAAGACGAUCAGAUACCGUCGUAGUCUCAACUAUAAACUAUACCAGCUAGGGAUCGGCCAACGUUUAAUUUAUCGACUUGGUCGGCACCUUAUGAGAAAUCAAAGCAUCUGGGUUCCGGGGGGAGUAUGGUCGCAAGGCUGAAACUUAAAGGAAUUGACGGAAGGGCACCACCAGCCGUGGAGCCUGUGGCUUAAUUUGACUCAACACGGGAAAACUUACCAGGUCCAGACAUAGGAAGGAUUGACAGAUUGAUAGCUCUUUCUUGAUUCUGUGGGUGGUGGUGCAUGGCCGUUUUUAGUCGGUGGAUGUGAUCUGUCUGCUUAAUUGCGUUAACGGACGAGACCCCAGCCUGCUAAAUAGCGCGGCCGAGCUUUGCUCGGUGCGAGCUUCUUAGAGGGACCAUGAUGCGCGAUAGCACAAGGAAGUUUGGGGCAACAACAGGUCUGUGAUGCCCUUAGAUGUUCUGGGCCGCGCACGGGCUACACUGGCGCCUGCAACGAGCAUAUCAGCUGGCCCGAGAGGGUCUUGGCUAAUCUUUGGAACCGGCGCCGUGCUUGGGAUUGACCAUUGCAAUUGUUGGUCAUGCAACGAGGAAUGCCUUGUAAACGCGAGUCAUCAGCUCGCAUUGAAUACGUCCCUGCCCUUUGUACACACCGCCCGUCGCUCCUACCGAUGAAUGUUCCGAUGAAAUUUUCGGAGAGCACCAGAGAACGGGGCUCCGCCUUGCAGAUCUGGAGGCUCAAAGUCACUUAAAUCUGAACAUUUCGAGGAAGGAGAAGUCGUAACAAGGUAGCCG